UGCCCUGUAGCUCAGGAGGACAGAGCGCGCCGCUACGAACGGCGAGGUCCCGGGUUCGAGUCCUGGCAGGGCAG
Molecule: transfer RNA, 74 nt
Filed under: Actinophytocola sp.
Lineage: Bacteria; Bacillati; Actinomycetota; Actinomycetes; Pseudonocardiales; Pseudonocardiaceae
Description: tRNA-Arg
Rfam family: tRNA
About the family: Transfer RNA (tRNA) molecules are approximately 80 nucleotides in length. Their secondary structure includes four short double-helical elements and three loops (D, anti-codon, and T loops).
Source: RNAcentral